Molecule: ribosomal RNA, 1485 nt
Filed under: uncultured Chloroflexota bacterium
Lineage: Bacteria; Bacillati; Chloroflexota
Description: bacterial SSU rRNA
Rfam family: Bacterial small subunit ribosomal RNA
Source: RNAcentral
AGAGUUUGAUCAUGGCUCAGGAUGAACGUUGGCGGCGUGCCUAACACAUGCAAGUCGAACGUGAAGGUUUAGUCUGAAAACUUCGGUUAGAUGACUGGCCGGAAAGUGGCGAACGGGUGAGUAACACGUAGGUAACCUGCCCCGAAGCGGGGGACAACCAUUGGAAACGAUGGCUAAUACCGCAUGAUUCCGCGAAGACACGAGUCUUCGUGGGUAAAACUUCGGUGCUUUGGGAUGGGCCUGCGUCCGAUUAGCUAGUUGGUGGGGUAAUGGCCUACCAAGGCAGUGAUCGGUAGCUGGUCUGAGAGGACGACCAGCCACAUGGGAACUGAGACACGGUCCCAACUCCUACGGGGGGCAGCAGUGAGGAAUAUUGCACAAUAGGGGAAACCCUGAUGCAGCAACGCCGCGUGGAGGAUGAAGGCUCUUGGGUUGUAAACUCCUUUUCUGCGGGAAGAGCAAGGACGGUACCGCAGGAAUAAGUCACGGCUAACUACGUGCCAGCAGCCGCGGUAAUACGUAGGUGACAAACGUUAUCCGGAAUUACUGGGCGUAAAGCGCACGCAGGCGGUCAAUCAAGUUUGGCGUGAAAGCUCCCGGCUUAACUGGGAGAGGUCGUUGAAUACUGGUUGGCUUGAGGCAGUGAGAGGGGUGCGGAAUUCCAGGUGUAGUGGUGGAAUGCGUAGAUAUCUGGAGGAACACCAGUGGCGAAAGCGGCACCCUGGCAUUGACCUGACGCUCAUGAGCGAAAGCGUGGGGAGCGAACGGGAUUAGAUACCCCGGUAGUCCACGCUGUAAACGAUGAACACUAGGUGUAGGCCGAGUCAAAUCGGUUUGUGCCGAAGUCAACGCGAUAAGUGUUCCGCCUGGGGAGUACGGCCGCAAGGCUAAAACUCAAAGGAAUUGACGGGGACCCGCACAAGCAGCGGAGCGUGUGGUUUAAUUCGAUGCAACGCGAAGAACCUUACCUGGGUUUGACAUAUACGUAGUAGUGAACCGAAAGGGGAACGAGCCUUCGGGCAGCGUAUACAGGUGCUGCAUGGCUGUCGUCAGCUCGUGUCAUGAGAUGUUGGGUUAAGUCCCGCAACGAGCGCAACCCUCGUCGCUAGUUACAAGUGUCUAGCGAGACUGCCGGUAUCAAACUGGAGGAAGGUGGGGAUGAUGUCAAGUCAGCAUGGCCUUUAUAUCCAGGGCUACACACACGCUACAAUGGAUAGUACAAUGGGCAGCGAAAGGGCGACCUGGAGCUAAUCCUAUCAAAGCUAUUCGUAGUUCGGAUUGCAGGCUGCAAUUCGCCUGCAUGAAGCCGGAGUUGCUAGUAAACGUAGGUCAGCACACUACGUUGAAUACGUUCCCGGGUCUUGUACACACCGCCCGUCACGUCAUGGGAGUCGGUAACACCUGAAGUCGGUGACUUAACCGCAAGGAGAGCACUGCCUAGGGUGGGACCGAUAACUGGGACGAAGUCGUAACAAGGUAACCGUA